GAGUUUGAUCGUGGCUCAGAUUGAACGCUGGCGGCAUGCCUUACACAUGCAAGUCGAACGGUAACAGGUCUUCGGACGCUGACGAGUGGCGAACGGGUGAGUAAUACAUCGGAACGUGCCCAGUCGUGGGGGAUAACUACUCGAAAGAGUAGCUAAUACCGCAUACGAUCUGAGGAUGAAAGCGGGGGACCUUCGGGCCUCGCGCGAUUGGAGCGGCCGAUGGCAGAUUAGGUAGCUGGUGGGAUAAAAGCUUACCAAGCCGACGAUCUGUAGCUGGUCUGAGAGGACGACCAGCCACACUGGGACUGAGACACGGCCCAGACUCCUACGGGAGGCAGCAGUGGGGAAUUUUGGACAAUGGGCGAAAGCCUGAUCCAGCAAUGCCGCGUGCAGGAUGAAGGCC
RNAcentral lists this ribosomal RNA (403 nucleotides) under uncultured microorganism. RNAcentral's name for it is "bacterial SSU rRNA". It matches the Rfam family "Bacterial small subunit ribosomal RNA", at positions 9 to 416 of the family's 1533-position model. The record is from RNAcentral.